RNAcentral lists this ribosomal RNA (253 nucleotides) under uncultured bacterium. RNAcentral describes it as "partial 16S ribosomal RNA". It matches the Rfam family "Bacterial small subunit ribosomal RNA", at positions 524 to 776 of the family's 1533-position model. The record is from RNAcentral.
UACGAAGGGGGCUAGCGUUGUUCGGAAUUACUGGGCGUAAAGCGCGCGCAGGCGGCUAUCCAAGUCAGUGGUGAAAGCCCGGAGCUCAACUCCGGAACUGCCAUUGAAACUGUUUAGCUUGAGGACGAGAGAGGUGAGUGGAAUUCCCAGUGUAGAGGUGAAAUUCGUAGAUAUUAGGAAGAACACCAGUGGCGAAGGCGGCUCACUGGUCCGGUACUGACGCUGAGGUGCGAAAGCGUGGGGAGCAAACAGG